RNAcentral lists this ribosomal RNA (534 nucleotides) under uncultured Acidobacteriota bacterium. RNAcentral describes it as "bacterial SSU rRNA". It matches the Rfam family "Bacterial small subunit ribosomal RNA", at positions 8 to 522 of the family's 1533-position model. The record is from RNAcentral. Lineage: Bacteria; Pseudomonadati; Acidobacteriota.
AGAGUUUGAUCAUGGCUCAGAAUCACGCUGGCGGCGUGCCUCAGACAUGCAAGUCGAACGAGAAAGUUCCCUUCGGGGAAUGAGUAAAGUGGCGCACGGGUGAGUAACACGUAGGUAAUCUACCUUCGGGUGGGGAAUAACGCAGGGAAACUUGCGCUAACACCGCAUAAUGCAGCGGCACCACAUGGUGACAGUUGUUAAAGCGGGGGAUUUUCGAACCUCGCGCCUGAAGAGGAGCCUGCGGCAGAUUAGCUAGUUGGUAGGGUAAUGGCUUACCAAGGCGACGAUCUGUAACCGGCCUGAGAGGGCGGUCGGUCACACUGACACUGACAUACGGGUCAGACUCCUACGGGAGGCAGCAGUCGGGAAUUUUGGGCAAUGGGCGAAAGCCUGACCCAGCAACGCCGCGUGAAGGAUGAAAUCCUUCGGGAUGUAAACUUCGCAAGAAUGGGAAGAAUUAGCGAGCGCUAACACCGCUCGUGAUGACGGUACCAUUUGUAAGCUCCGGCUAACUCCGUGCCAGCAGCCGCGGUA